GACGAACGCUGGCGGCGCGCUUAACACAUGCAAGUCGAGCGAUGAAGUUCCUUCGGGAAUGGAUUAGCGGCGGACGGGUGAGUAACACGUGGGUAACCUGCCUCAUAGAGGGGAAUAGCCUUUCGAAAGGAAGAUUAAUACCGCAUAAGAUUGUAGUAUCGCAUGAUACAGCAAUUAAAGGAGUAAUCCGCUAUGAGAUGGACCCGCGUUGCAUUAGCUAGUUGGUGAGGUAACGGCUCACCAAGGCGACGAUGCGUAGCCGACCUGAGAGGGUGAUCGGCCACAUUGGGACUGAGACACGGCCCAGACUCCUACGGGAGGCAGCAGUGGGGAAUAUUGCACAAUGGGGGAAACCCUGAUGCAGCAACGCCGCGUGAGUGAUGACGGUCUUCGGAUUGUAAAACUCUGUCUUCAGGGACGAUAAUGACGGUACCUGAGGAGGAAGCCACGGCUAACUACGUGCCAGCCGCCGCGGUAA
This 478-nucleotide ribosomal RNA is filed under the name uncultured bacterium. RNAcentral describes it as "partial 16S ribosomal RNA". It matches the Rfam family "Bacterial small subunit ribosomal RNA", at positions 28 to 523 of the family's 1533-position model. The record is from RNAcentral.